CUGGCACAGAAUAGAAACUUUACAGAAGGCCAACUUCUUCGUUUUUGCCUAUGAUUUUGGCGUGACCAUUGCAAUGCUGUCGCCAUGUUCCUAGACAGUGUGCUUAUGAGAGGCAUUCACCCCCUGUUAAUAGAGCAUGGUUAAUGGAACUGAGAUAGUGAUAUGUUUGGUUAGCUGGACCCAUUGAACUAUAAAUAAACUGGAAGGCUAACUCAGGGGGGGAAAUUGAAGCCAGUGCAUUUUAGUUUUUCUGAGUUAUGAGCAGAAAUACUCAACACUGAACGUUGGGCUAUAUAUCAAAUUGAAG
Paramuricea clavata is the source of this 307-nucleotide non-coding RNA. Lineage: Eukaryota; Metazoa; Cnidaria; Anthozoa; Malacalcyonacea; Plexauridae. The record is from the annotation of a GenBank genome assembly.